This 133-nucleotide small RNA is filed under the name Candidatus Thiodiazotropha sp. RNAcentral describes it as "RtT sRNA". It matches the Rfam family "RtT RNA". From Rfam's summary of the family: This family represents a bacterial cis-regulatory element known as RtT RNA. The record is from RNAcentral. Lineage: Bacteria; Pseudomonadati; Pseudomonadota; Gammaproteobacteria; Chromatiales; Sedimenticolaceae.
CCAGAAUCUGCCAGAUGGAGGAUGAGAAGCUCCACCGAGGUUCGACGUCUGAACGAAGUGAAGGCGAACAGCGGCAGCGCUGGCCCCAAAGGGGUGAGGCCCAAUGGGCCGAAUAAUCCUCCAUCCCCAGCCA